CUUAUCGACUAAACAGCAACUUCAAUGUUUUUUUGUUUUUAAAAAACACCUAAUCUAGGCAAAAAUAAUCGGGGUUUAGUUACAUUAUAUAAUGAUACAUUGCAUAAGCCUGCCACAACGUCAAUGUGCCCCAUCUUUGACAGGUCCUUCUCUAACAGCCUAAUGUCUGCUCUUAUGAAGUUGCUGUUUAGUGGAUAAGUGAGUGCGCUGGAUCUUGUGUGUUGUAUGGAUUGACCCCCAGCAGCACCCCAUUUAUGCAUGUUCAGAUGAGUGCA
Molecule: non-coding RNA, 275 nt
Organism: Pelobates cultripes (western spadefoot toad)
Lineage: Eukaryota; Metazoa; Chordata; Amphibia; Anura; Pelobatidae
Source: the annotation of a GenBank genome assembly